GGCUGUCGUCAGCUCGUGCCGUGAGGUGUCGGGUUAAGUCCCAUAACGAGCGCAACCCCUAUCGUUAGUUGCUAGCAGGUAAUGCUGAGGACUCUAGCGCGACUGCCACCGUAAGGUGAGAGGAAGGUGGGGAUGACGUCAAAUCAGCACGGCCCUUACGUCCAGGGCUACACACGUGUUACAAUGGCCAGUACAAAGGGCAGCUACCAGGUGACAGGAUGCUAAUCUCAAAAGCUGGUCUCAGUUCGGAUCGGAGUCUGCAACUCGACUCCGUGAAGUUGGAUUCGCUAGUAAUCGUCUAUCAGCAAUGAUACGGUGAAUACGUUCCCGGGCCUUGUACACACCGCGCGUCACA
Molecule: ribosomal RNA, 355 nt
Filed under: uncultured Bacteroidota bacterium
Lineage: Bacteria; Pseudomonadati; Bacteroidota
Description: bacterial SSU rRNA
Rfam family: Bacterial small subunit ribosomal RNA
Source: RNAcentral